Molecule: ribosomal RNA, 305 nt
Filed under: uncultured bacterium
Lineage: Bacteria
Description: bacterial SSU rRNA
Rfam family: Bacterial small subunit ribosomal RNA
Source: RNAcentral
AGAUCUACGGGGCGCAGCAGUGGGGAAUAUUGCACAAUGGGGGAAACCCUGAUGCAGCGACGUCGCGUGAGCGAUGAAGUAUUUCGGUAUGUAAAGCUCUAUCAGCAGGGAAGAAAAUGACGGUACCUGACUAAGAAGCCCCGGCUAACUACGUGCCAGCAGCCGCGGUAAUACGUAGGGGGCAAGCGUUAUCCGGAUUUACUGGGUGUAAAGGGAGCGUAGACGGCGAUGCAAGCCAGAUGUGAAAGCCCGGGGUUCAACCCCGGGACUGCAUUUGGCACUUUAUAGCUAGAGUGUCGGAGAGG